This 846-nucleotide ribosomal RNA is filed under the name Chloridium culmicola. RNAcentral's name for it is "partial large subunit ribosomal RNA". It matches the Rfam family "Eukaryotic large subunit ribosomal RNA", at positions 65 to 943 of the family's 3401-position model. The record is from RNAcentral. Lineage: Eukaryota; Fungi; Ascomycota; Sordariomycetes; Chaetosphaeriales; Chaetosphaeriaceae.
CCAACUGGGAUCGCCCUAGUAACGGCGAGUGAAGCGGCGACAGCUCAAAUUUGAAAUCUGGCCCUGGGCCCGAGUUGUAAUUUGCAGAGGAUGCUUCGGGCGCGGCGCCUUCCGAGUCUAUUGGAACAUAGCGCCAGAGAGGGUGAGAGCCCCGUACUGUUGGCCGCCAAGCCUGUGUGAAGCUCCUUCGACGAGUCGAGUAGUUUGGGAAUGCUGCUCAAAAUGGGAGGUAGACCCCUUCUAAAGCUAAAUACCGGCCAGAGACCGAUAGCGCACAAGUAGAGUGAUCGAAAGAUGAAAAGCACUUUGAAAAGAGGGUUAAACAGCACGUGAAAUUGUUGAAAGGGAAGCGCUCGUGACCAGACUUGCGCCGGGGCGAUCAUCUGGCGUUCUCGCCGGUGCACUCGCCCCGGCUCAGGCCAGCGUCGGUUCGGGCGGGGGGAUAAAGGCGUUGGGAACGUGGCUCCCCCGGGAGUGUUAUAGCCCAGCGUGUAAUGCCCCCGCCUGGACCGAGGUUCGCGCUCCGCAAGGACGCUGGCGUAAUGGUCCCCGGCGACCCGUCUUGAAACACGGACCAAGGAGUCGAGGUUCUGCGCGAGUGUUUGGGUGUCAAACCCGCACGCGUAAUGAAAGUGAACGCAGGUGGGAGCUUCGGCGCACCACCGACCGAUCCUGAUGUUCUCGGAUGGAUUUGAGUAGGAGCGUGGGGCCUCGGACCCGAAAGAUGGUGAACUAUGCUUGGAUAGGGUGAAGUCAGAGGAAACUCUGAUGGAGGCUCGCAGCGGUUCUGACGUGCAAAUCGAUCGUCAAAUCUGAGCAUGGGGGGCGAAAGACUAAUCGAACCAU